UGAUAGCUUCGAGGACGCACUUUUUGAUCAAAGGCCUUCUUCAUCCUUCUCUGAUACAACUGCCCGUGGCACACAGCUGCUAACCGUCUCUCUUCGAUAAGGCUCAACUCGUUAAACCUUGUUCGAAUCCACUCAGCUUCGUCUAGCUUGACAUCCAACAGGACUCUCAGAGAAGGAAUCUCCACUUCAACAGGUAGGACUGCUUCCAUACCAUACACAAGGGAGUACAGG
This 231-nucleotide long non-coding RNA is filed under the name Lathyrus oleraceus (garden pea). RNAcentral's name for it is "Pisum sativum (pea) long non-coding RNA (PSAT_LNC041277)". The record is from RNAcentral. Lineage: Eukaryota; Viridiplantae; Streptophyta; Magnoliopsida; Fabales; Fabaceae.